Cynoglossus semilaevis (tongue sole) is the source of this 1543-nucleotide long non-coding RNA. RefSeq lists it as uncharacterized. The record is from RefSeq and is a predicted model, not a curated record. NCBI's taxonomy places the organism in Eukaryota, Metazoa, Chordata, Actinopteri, Pleuronectiformes, Cynoglossidae. The transcript is spliced from 3 exons.
UAAGAAUAACAUUUAUGUAAAUUUAACUUGUGAAUCUGAAAUGAAAAAGGUAUGAUUGUAGGUCAAUCCUUUUAUUCCCCUGUAUUUGAGAUCUACUGUGGUUUGAGUAAACAGGACCUACUCUUCAGUGACCUUGGUGAGGACGGUGACAGUAUUGAGGAAGGGGCCCGAGUAUAACAAGGUAACAACGUUCUUAAAUAUCAAGAGGAUGUACAGUGUGCUUGCUGCGAGGCUAAAAAAAAAUCAUACCCUAUUUUAUAUAUUUUGUGCCUUUUCCUCACUUUAGCUUACUACUUUAAAUAUUCAUAUCAUUUAAUUUUUAUUGUUAUAUCUGGACUUUAAUCAUUGUUGGGUUUUCCUCUCUCUCUUUGUCUCUCUCUGUCUCUCUCUGUCUCUUGCUGUCUCUGUCUCUCUCUGUCUCUCUCUGUCUGUCUGUCUCUCUCUCAAUUUUAUUUCACAAAAUACAUUUUAGCCUAACAGACUUAAAUUUUUAUAUGAACAUAAAGAAAAAAAUUAAACUGACCUCCGGAAAUCCUCUUUACCUCGAAACAAUAUAUUAAAAUGACAUAAUAUUGUGUGUAUGUCUUGACAGAGAAGCUUUACAAUGUAGUUCUUCUGGCAUCAUUGGAUGAGAAGCACAAAUUUCUCAGUAAUGAGGUUGAACAUCUGGAGAAGGAAAGCCAGAUGGUACAAAGACUUAAAAUUUAUCUUCUGACUGUACAUCUGUGUUUGAGUGAAACAUCAGGAAUGUUUUUGCACUGUAAAAAUGACAAAACAAAUUCUUAUUCUUGGCCAAGAGAAACUUGCAAAAUUAUUUGCCGUUUCUCUUUUUUUCCUGAAAAGGACCGUUUAAUGACCAAGAAGUUGGACAAAGUAAAGCUGGAGUCAUUUAAAGUUAACCUGGAAAACAGAGAUGCUGAACUGAAUGAAGCAAAGUUAGUCAUCUGGAGUCCCUGAAACAUGAGCGAGAGGAACUGCAGCAUCUGCUGAAGAAUCAGAAGUUUAAACCUGCUGAUGUAGAGAGGAUCAACAAAGAGAAUAAUGAACUCCAGCAGUCACCUGCCUCUUUGUUGUGUGAAACUGAGGAGAAUCUUUUGGGUGUUGUUCCUAAGAGAGCCUUGUAUGUGGGUGAUAGGUUGUCUUAGCCCACCUCCUCUGUUGAGUGAUGGUUUUUCUAGGUUGACAAAAAUAGCUUCUUUUACCCCUCUCUCAAACCAUCGGUCAUUUUACUUCUUUCUUCUGUUUCACCAUUCUCCUGCAGGUGGACUUUAAGGUGGCAGAGUACCACAAGCUGGCACGCAAACUGAAGCUGAUACCAGUCGGUGCAGAUUCCUGUGGUCAUGAUUUGACGAUCAAACAAUUUAAAUAUGGAGUUGGCAGCAUGGUUCAACAUAAGGCUCAGAUACAGAUCCUGCUGAGGAAACUCGUAAGUGACAUGGAAAACGUCGAUUAACAAACACCAACCUCAGCCUGGAAGAAUCCUGAACAGGUAAAAAUGUUUAUGUUCCUGAUUCUUUGGUAUUUGUUUUUUGCAGAUUUCCAC